GGCCGUGUGGCGAAAUGGCAUCGCGUCUGACUACGAAUUCUAGGAUUGGGCAUCAGGAGAUUGCAGGUUCGACCCCUGUCUCGGUCA
Non-coding RNA from Tephrocybe rancida, 87 nucleotides. The record is from the annotation of a GenBank genome assembly. Lineage: Eukaryota; Fungi; Basidiomycota; Agaricomycetes; Agaricales; Lyophyllaceae.